CCUCUCGGGGGUAAGCGGGCAAAACUUGCAAGUAUUGACAAGAGAUUCAGACUUGGUCUUGGGUGGAUGUAUAUAUUUAUUAAGUUGUUUAUUCGUAAACUGACUAAUUUAUAUGUUUUUGGCUAUCUAGACCGCGUCGCACUUCUCUUUGUCAUCCGGGUCGUAUGCAACUGAGUUGAUAGUUUAGGUACUAGGAUCCUGCAAAUCAUUUUGGUUUGAGUCUUAGUUUCCAACUAUUUUUGCGGUUGUUUUAAAAGCGAACAAGCAUUCGGUGCGGUCAAUUUUACUUACGAGUUUUGUACAUAUGAUAUAUGGACGAGCAAUCGUAAUAUGUUGUAUGUACUGGUUGUCAGUAGUAUACUGGCAUUGUUCAGUAUUACAAUCUAAAGCAUGCGUGGUCUGCCUGU
This 407-nucleotide ribosomal RNA is filed under the name Schoettella ununguiculata. RNAcentral describes it as "partial 28S ribosomal RNA". The record is from RNAcentral. Lineage: Eukaryota; Metazoa; Arthropoda; Collembola; Poduromorpha; Hypogastruridae.